UGUAAAACCAUCAGGGGUUUGUUUAGCCUA
This 30-nucleotide non-coding RNA is filed under the name Mus musculus (house mouse). The record is from RNAcentral. Lineage: Eukaryota; Metazoa; Chordata; Mammalia; Rodentia; Muridae.